CAGCAGCAGCCGCGGUAAUACGUAGGGUGCGAGCGUUAAUCGGAAUUACUGGGCGUAAAGCGUGCGCAGGCGGUUAUAUAAGUCAGAUGUGAAAUCCCCGGGCUCAACCUGGGAACUGCAUUUGAGACUGUAUGGCUAGAGUGUGUCAGAGGGGGGUAGAAUUCCACGUGUAGCAGUGAAAUGCGUAGAUAUGUGGAGGAAUACCGAUGGCGAAGGCAGCCCCCUGGGAUAACACUGACGCUCAUGCACGAAAGCGUGGGGAGCAAACAGGAUUAGAUACCCGUGUAGUCCCUGUCUCUUAUAC
This 304-nucleotide ribosomal RNA is filed under the name uncultured bacterium. RNAcentral's name for it is "partial 16S ribosomal RNA". It matches the Rfam family "Bacterial small subunit ribosomal RNA", at positions 506 to 807 of the family's 1533-position model. The record is from RNAcentral.